GAGUUUGAUUAUGGCUCAGGACGAACGCUGGCGGCGUGCCUAAUACAUGCAAGUCGAACGAACGGAGAAAGAAGCUUGCUUUUUUCAAAGUUAGUGGCGAACGGGUGAGUAACACGUGGGUAACCUGCCCAUCAGAGGGGGAUAACAUUCGGAAACGGAUGCUAAAACCGCAUAGGUUCCUUAGUUGCAUGACUGAGGAAGGAAAAGAGGCGUAGGCUUCUGCUGGUGGAUGGACCCGCGGUGCAUUAGCUAGUUGGUGAGGUAACGGCUCACCAAGGCGAUGAUGCAUAGCCGACCUGAGAGGGUGAUCGGCCACAUUGGGACUGAGACACGGCCCAAACUCCUACGGGAGGCAGCAGUAGGGAAUCUUCCGCAAUGGACGCAAGUCUGACGGAGCAACGCCGCGUGAGUGAAGAAGGUUUUCGGAUCGUAAAACUCUGUUGUUAGAGAAGAAUAAGCAUAAUAGUAGCUGAUUAUGCCG
RNAcentral lists this ribosomal RNA (481 nucleotides) under Granulicatella sp. canine oral taxon 095. RNAcentral describes it as "bacterial SSU rRNA". It matches the Rfam family "Bacterial small subunit ribosomal RNA", at positions 9 to 477 of the family's 1533-position model. The record is from RNAcentral. Lineage: Bacteria; Bacillati; Bacillota; Bacilli; Lactobacillales; Carnobacteriaceae.